CCUGAUCGUGAGUUCUUCUAGGUAUCCAUUUUGAUAUCAUGUUUGGGAAGUCCUGAUAAUGUUAAAAAUGGGAGUUGUUGAAUAGCUGUUCUCUCUUAGGUUGGUUGAGGGUAGAGCUUUGGACAAAUACCAUACGUAUGAGCUUGAUUACCCUUCUCUAAAGAAUUUGAGAAAUAAAAACUAAAAUUAGCAGUAGUAGGAUAUGAACUGAACUUUGACUGCAAACAUUUGUAACAAAGAUGGCGAUA
RNAcentral lists this unclassified non-coding RNA (248 nucleotides) under Hevea brasiliensis (rubber tree). The record is from RNAcentral. Lineage: Eukaryota; Viridiplantae; Streptophyta; Magnoliopsida; Malpighiales; Euphorbiaceae.